RNAcentral lists this ribosomal RNA (641 nucleotides) under fungal sp. ARIZ B211. RNAcentral's name for it is "eukaryotic LSU rRNA". The stretch from base 257 to 410 matches the Rfam family "5.8S ribosomal RNA". The record is from RNAcentral. Lineage: Eukaryota; Fungi.
GAAGUAAAAAGUCGUAACAAGGUCUCCGUUGGUGAACCAGCGGAGGGAUCAUUACCGAGUUUACAACUCCCAAACCCAAUGUGAACGUUACCAAACUGUUGCCUCGGCGGGAUCUCUGSCCCGGGUGCGUCGCAGCCCCGGACCAAGGCGCCCGCCGGAGGACCAACCUAAAACUCUUAUUGUAUACCCCCUCGCGGGUUUUUUUAUAAUCUGAGCCUUCUCGGCGCCUCUCGUAGGCGUUUCGAAAAUGAAUCAAAACUUUCAACAACGGAUCUCUUGGUUCUGGCAUCGAUGAAGAACGCAGCGAAAUGCGAUAAGURAUGUGAAUUGCAGAAUUCAGUGAAUCAUCGAAUCUUUGAACGCACAUUGCGCCCGCCAGUAUUCUGGCGGGCAUGCCUGUCCGAGCGUCAUUUCAACCCUCGAACCCCUCCGGGGGGYCGGCGUUGGGGAUCGGCCCUCCCUUAGCGGGUGGCCGUCUCCGAAAUACAGUGGCGGUCUCGCCGCAGCCUCUCCUGCGCAGUAGUUUGCACACUCGCAUCGGGAGCGCGGCGCGUCCACAGCCGUUAAACACCCAACUUCUGAAAUGUUGACCUCGGAUCAGGUAGGAAUACCCGCUGAACUUAAGCAUAUCAAUAAGCGGA